This 371-nucleotide ribosomal RNA is filed under the name uncultured bacterium. RNAcentral's name for it is "bacterial SSU rRNA". It matches the Rfam family "Bacterial small subunit ribosomal RNA", at positions 527 to 896 of the family's 1533-position model. The record is from RNAcentral.
GAAGGGUGCAAGCGUUACUCGGAAUUACUGGGCGUAAAGCGUGCGUAGGUGGUUCGUUAAGUCUGAUGUGAAAGCCCUGGGCUCAACCUGGGAAUGGCAUUGGAUACUGGCGAUCUAGAGUGCGGUAGAGGGCAGUGGAAUUCCCGGUGUAGCAGUGAAAUGCGUAGAGAUCGGGAGGAACAUCUGUGGCGAAGGCGACUGCCUGGACCAGCACUGACACUGAGGCACGAAAGCGUGGGGAGCAAACAGGAUUAGAUACCCUGGUAGUCCACGCCCUAAACGAUGCGAACUGGAUGUUGGGUGCAACUAGGCACUCAGUAUCGAAGCUAACGCGUUAAGUUCGCCGCCUGGGGAGUACGGUCGCAAGACUG